AAAGUCGUAACAAGGUUUCCGUAGGUGAACCUGCGGAAGGAUCAUUACAAAUCCAUCCACGUCUCAUUCCUUGAGACCACGUUGAAAUGUUCCCUAGUGCGUGUCUCCGUCUCCCUUGACCGUGUCGACGUUUGUCGGUGCGUCCAGGGGCGUCGGCAGUACACACACUAGGCUUGUAAACUAGUAUUAUCUGUUGCUCAAUUGUAUCUUUCUUGAUUGUAAUGAUCAGGGUAAACAAAGUACAACUUAUAACAAUGGAUCUCUAGGCUCUU
RNAcentral lists this unclassified non-coding RNA (272 nucleotides) under Basidiomycota sp. RNAcentral describes it as "partial contains small subunit ribosomal RNA, internal transcribed spacer 1, and 5.8S ribosomal RNA". The stretch from base 1 to 47 matches the Rfam family "Eukaryotic small subunit ribosomal RNA", at positions 1785 to 1831 of the family's 1831-position model. The record is from RNAcentral. Lineage: Eukaryota; Fungi; Basidiomycota.